GCUGUGUAAGGUCUUGGCAUCACUAAGCAAAGCCUGCUUUUCCACAAGGUUCAAGUGCUGGUGAGACCACCCAGGACAUCCACAGCUCCCCAGGUGAGGAUGAGCAUGCAGGUAUGCCGGCUGCAUGGGCAUGUCCUGCUCCCUGCCUCUCCCCAUCACAACUUGCUGGCCUCACACCCUCUGUCCCCCAGCUCCACAUGCCCAGAUCCCGCACACCCUCCCCACAGGCACGGUGCUGGCAGUGGCAGCCGUUGGCCUCGUCCUUCUGGCUGCAGGCAGCUGGUUUGUCAUCAAGAAAGGUGCCUGCAGAGGGAGAUGCCCAAGGCAGCAGCACGUUGACAGCCCACAGACGGAAGACACCAACUAUGGUGACAUCCAGUGUGAGUACUACCUCCUCCCUCGGGGGAAGCCACAUGCUCCUCUCCCCAUGAGAAUCCUGUGCGAGCCCCCAUGCAAUCCCAUCACUUCAUUUCCCACUGGGACAUACAAAAUCCCUGCCCGUUCAUCAAGGCCAGGUUUCUCUCCAGCACCUCACGUCCUGCUUCUUCCUUGCAUGCAGAGUGUGUGCGAGGCUGCUGGCUGCACAAGGGACAUGGCAGCAUCCCAGUGCUCAUGGGGAGAAAGCGCCUUUGCCUGGGGAGUCCUUUCACAGCUGCUGCAGCCCCAGGCUGCAAUUCCCCCACCUCAGCCUCUUCUUUUGUUAUUUCUUCAGUUUUCCUACAAAGCAAUUUCUGUUUUCAUGCAAUUGAAAGGACAGAGCAGCAGUGAAAGAUGUGGCUCUCUUUCCUUGUGCUUGUGAGGAAACCAUUUUAGAGUUCGCUCUGUAACCACAGGUAGCAACAAAGAGAGGAUGUUGUGGUUGGGUCACAGGCUAUAGAUAUAUCCCUACCCUAUGAGUACAUCACUCCAAGUUGACCUCUAACCUCUAACAAGGUUACAACACAACCUUGUUUUUGCAGACGUGCACAGAGCAGCUUGCAAGGUGUGCUGGCUGUGCAAGGAG
RNAcentral lists this long non-coding RNA (1003 nucleotides) under Anas platyrhynchos (mallard). Its description in RNAcentral is "lncRNA (ENSAPLG00020010322.1)". The record is from RNAcentral. Lineage: Eukaryota; Metazoa; Chordata; Aves; Anseriformes; Anatidae.